Long non-coding RNA from Notolabrus celidotus (New Zealand spotty), 525 nucleotides. RefSeq lists it as uncharacterized. The transcript has 3 exons. The record is from RefSeq and is a predicted model, not a curated record. Lineage: Eukaryota; Metazoa; Chordata; Actinopteri; Labriformes; Labridae.
ACAGUUCCUGGGCGGUACAAAGAAAGAGCUUGCUCAGAUUUGUUGAACUAAAGAUAAUUAAAUAAUUACUCCAUGAUACAUUCCAAACUGAUUUGAAAAAUACCGGAUUACAAAUUGAACAGCUCUGUCAGUCAUAAUGAAGCUAACAGGAAAAGUCAAUGCCUGUCUGGAAGUAUCACUAAAAACCAUGCUGAAAACAGAUUAACUCUGCUUCAAAAUAAGGUGCUCCAGUUCUGCUUCAUACAUCAUCUCCUGCAUCAGGUACUUCUCCCUCCUCAUGCGGUCGCACAGAUCCUUGGGCAUGUCCGGGAUGAGAAAAAUGAAGAAGGCAGCGUACGUCAGGGGAAAAUCUGACUUUCCAAGGGAAGAGGAAGAAAUAUGGGGCUUCUUUUUUAGCUGGACCACCAUGGAAUUUGGUUUUUAUUCUGUGGUUGUUUUACUUAAACUUCUCAGACUACUGUAGGAGCAACAUUGACUGAAAGCACGAGAAGCUCCUAAAUUGUACUUGUGAGGUUUUCACUUAGC